CUAACCAAUUCUGAUCAAUCGAUCUAUUGGUAUCUAAGGCAAGUUAAUGAGAUAUGAAUUAUUUAAUUGAUUCUGUUAGCCGACCUGGCCAAUUUAUUGGCGUCUUAGGAAGGCAACGGGGGGACCCCCACCAAUCUCCACUUACCUGGCCAAUUUAGAAGAUUGGAUCUUGAAUUAGGUUGCUUAGCAAUCUGAUUUAGCCCAUGCCAGU
RNAcentral lists this long non-coding RNA (211 nucleotides) under Elaeis guineensis (African oil palm). RNAcentral describes it as "long non-coding RNA (EGUI_LNC003834)". The record is from RNAcentral. Lineage: Eukaryota; Viridiplantae; Streptophyta; Magnoliopsida; Arecales; Arecaceae.